AGUGGCAAAGUCUUUCCAUAU
RNAcentral lists this microRNA (21 nucleotides) under Homo sapiens (human). RNAcentral's name for it is "hsa-miR-3688-5p". The record is from miRBase by way of RNAcentral. Lineage: Eukaryota; Metazoa; Chordata; Mammalia; Primates; Hominidae.